RNAcentral lists this ribosomal RNA (354 nucleotides) under Triticum aestivum (bread wheat). Its description in RNAcentral is "partial small subunit ribosomal RNA". The record is from RNAcentral. Lineage: Eukaryota; Viridiplantae; Streptophyta; Magnoliopsida; Poales; Poaceae.
AUGUCCUCCGCCUCCGCCCCCGCCCCCGACUCCGAUCACUGCGACGCCGGAGCCAUCAUGGCCGACGUCCUCUCCAAGGGCCGCGAAUCCUGCUACAAGGCCCGGGACGCCUUCUACGCGUGCGUGGAGAAGCACGCGGACAAGAAGCCCACCGAGAUCGCCACCAUGGGGCUCCUCUUCCCCGCCGACUGCAAGAAAUCCCGCGCCCAGUACGUCAGCAGCUGCCGCCCCUCCUGGGUGAGGCACUUCGACCGGCAGCACUGCGCCAAGAAGCGGGUGCAGAGGCUGCUCGACGGCGACGACGACGGCCGGGGUCCCAUGUCGCUGCCCCAGCCCUACACGUUCAAGCAAUAA